Molecule: ribosomal RNA, 433 nt
Filed under: uncultured bacterium
Lineage: Bacteria
Description: bacterial SSU rRNA
Rfam family: Bacterial small subunit ribosomal RNA
Source: RNAcentral
AACGAACGCUGGCGGCAUGCCUAACACAUGCAAGUCGAACGAGGCCCUUCGGGGUUUAGUGGCGCACGGGUGCGUAACGCGUGGGAAUCUGCCCUUUGGUUCGGAAUAACAGCUGGAAACGGCUGCUAAUACCGGAUGAUGACGAAAGUCCAAAGAUUUAUCGCCAGAGGAUGAGCCCGCGUUGGAUUAGGUAGUUGGUGGGGUAAAGGCCUACCAAGCCGACGAUCCAUAGCUGGUCUGAGAGGAUGAUCAGCCACACUGGGACUGAGACACGGCCCAGACUCCUACGGGAGGCAGCAGUGGGGAAUAUUGGACAAUGGGCGCAAGCCUGAUCCAGCAAUGCCGCGUGAGUGAUGAAGGCCCUAGGGUUGUAAAGCUCUUUUACCCGGGAAGAUAAUGACUGUACCGGGAGAAUAAGCCCCGGCAAACUCCG